UUGGCUAUGGCCGGGGCUGCUGGCGGCAGUGCUAUUGAUUAGCACCGCCGUGCUGGCGUUCGGCGCGCUGUGGCUGGAC
This 79-nucleotide transfer RNA is filed under the name Dickeya dianthicola. RNAcentral describes it as "tRNA-Ser". Lineage: Bacteria; Pseudomonadati; Pseudomonadota; Gammaproteobacteria; Enterobacterales; Pectobacteriaceae. The record is from RNAcentral.